AAACCAGUCAAAACAAUGACUACUUGAAUGGCAUUCAAGAGGUCAGGGGUUCGAUUCCCCUCAGCUCCA
Molecule: transfer RNA, 69 nt
Filed under: Caudoviricetes sp.
Lineage: Duplodnaviria; Heunggongvirae; Uroviricota; Caudoviricetes
Description: tRNA-OTHER
Source: RNAcentral